Molecule: ribosomal RNA, 320 nt
Filed under: uncultured bacterium
Lineage: Bacteria
Description: bacterial SSU rRNA
Rfam family: Bacterial small subunit ribosomal RNA
Source: RNAcentral
UGACGGUACCACUUGAAUAAGCUCCGGCUAACUACGUGCCAGCAGCCGCGGUAAUACGUAGGGAGCAAGCGUUAUCCGGAUUUACUGGGUGUAAAGGGCGUGUAGGCGGGACAUCAAGUCAGAUGUGAAAGCACGAGGCUCAACUUCGUGUCUGCAUUUGAAACUGACGUUCUUGAGUGCUGGAGAGGCUAACGGAAUUCCUAGUGUAGCGGUGAAAUGCGUAGAUAUUAGGAGGAACACCAGUGGCGAAGGCGGUUAGCUGGACAGUAACUGACGCUGAGGCGCGAAAGCGUGGGUAGCAAACAGGAUUAGAUACCCUG